GGACCCGCACAAGCGGUGGAGCAUGUGGUUUAAUUCGACGCAACGCGAAGAACCUUACCAGGUCUUGACAUCCCAUUGACGGGUAUAGAGAUAUACCGUUUCUUCGGAACAAUGGAGACAGGUGGUGCAUGGUUGUCGUCAGCUCGUGUCGUGAGAUGUUGGGUUAAGUCCCGCAACGAGCGCAACCCUUGUCGUUAGUUACUAACAUUAAGUUGAGGACUCUAGCGAGACUGCCAGUGAUAAACUGGAGGAAGGUGGGGAUGACGUCAAAUCAUCAUGCCCCUUAUGGCCUGGGCUACACACGUGCUACAAUGGUUAGAACAAAGAGAAGCGAAAUUGCGAAGUGGAGCAAACCUCAAAAAACUAAUCUCAGUUCAGAUUGUAGGCUGCAACUCGCCUGCAUGAAGUCGGAAUCGCUAGUAAUCGCGAAUCAGCAUGUCGCGGUGAAUACGUUCCCGGGUCUUGUACACACCGCCCGUCACACCACGAGAGUUUGUAACACCCGAAGCCGGUGGCCUAACCUAUUUAUAGGAGGGAGCCGUCUAAGGUGGGACAGAUGAUUGGGGUG
Molecule: ribosomal RNA, 568 nt
Filed under: uncultured bacterium
Lineage: Bacteria
Description: bacterial SSU rRNA
Rfam family: Bacterial small subunit ribosomal RNA
Source: RNAcentral